Molecule: ribosomal RNA, 517 nt
Filed under: uncultured bacterium
Lineage: Bacteria
Description: bacterial SSU rRNA
Rfam family: Bacterial small subunit ribosomal RNA
Source: RNAcentral
UAGAGUUUGAUCAUGGCUCAGAUUGAACGCUGGCGGCAUGCCUUACACAUGCAAGUCGAACGGCAGCACGGGGGCAACCCUGGUGGCGAGUGGCGAACGGGUGAGUAAUACAUCGGAACGUGUCCUGUAGUGGGGGAUAGCCCGGCGAAAGCCGGAUUAAUACCGCAUACGCUCUGUGGAGGAAAGGGGGGGAUCUUAGGACCUCUCGCUACAGGGGCGGCCGAUGGCAGAUUAGCUAGUUGGUGGGGUAAAGGCCUACCAAGGCGACGAUCUGUAGCUGGUCUGAGAGGACGACCAGCCACACUGGGACUGAGACACGGCCCAGACUCCUACGGGAGGCAGCAGUGGGGAAUUUUGGACAAUGGGCGCAAGCCUGAUCCAGCAAUGCCGCGUGUGUGAAGAAGGCCUUCGGGUUGUAAAGCACUUUUGUCCGGAAAGAAAACAUUCCCACUAAUACUGGGGGUGGAUGACGGUACCGGAAGAAUAAGCACCGGCUAACUACGUGCCAGCAGCCGCG